Molecule: long non-coding RNA, 398 nt
Filed under: Mus spicilegus (steppe mouse)
Lineage: Eukaryota; Metazoa; Chordata; Mammalia; Rodentia; Muridae
Description: lncRNA (ENSMSIG00000022508.1)
Source: RNAcentral
GAAAGAAUGGACUAGAGCAUUGUGAUCUACAGAAACAAUUGUCUUCUUUUACUCUGGCUGGUGCCAAAGUGGCUCAAAAAAAGCUCUUGCACCUGAAAAAUAUUACUGCUUUGAACUCUGACAGUGGAGAGUUUGGGAAAAUUGUACUCAUAUCUUCAUAUCUAUUUUGGAAUCACAUGCCAUGGGAAUGCAGAAUACAGCUCCACGAAACUUCUGCCACACCAACUGAACAUAUUGGCAGAACACAGAAGAAGAGAAGGAAGAAGUUAAUGAUUUUCUUACAAUGGCUUAAGUGUUCUCAGAAUGAAGAAAGUACAGAGACAAAGGAUGACUACGAGAAUGAAGAGGAGCAGGAGGAAGAUGAGCAGGAGGAGGGAGAACAAGAAAGGAAGAACUAA